Molecule: ribosomal RNA, 340 nt
Filed under: Dinera sp. AT-2009
Lineage: Eukaryota; Metazoa; Arthropoda; Insecta; Diptera; Tachinidae
Description: partial 16S ribosomal RNA
Source: RNAcentral
UCUUUUAAUUGAAGGCUGGUAUGAAUGGUUGGACAAAUAUUAACUGUUUCAUAAAUAUUUUUGUUAAAAUUUUAUUUUUUAGUCAAAAAGCUAAAAUUAAUUUAAAAGACAAGAAGACCCUAUAAAUCUUUAUAAUUUAAUUAUUAAAAAUUUAUAGAAUUAUUUUAUUAUAAUAAUAAGUAUUAUUUUAUUGGGGUGAUAUUAAAAUUUAAUUAACUUUUAAUUUAAUAUUUCAUUAAUUUAUGAAUGAUUGAUCCAUUAUUAAUGAUUAAUAAAAUAAGUUACUUUAGGGAUAACAGCGUAAUUUUUUUGGAGAGUUCAUAUCAAUAAAAAAGAUUGC